CCUACGGGUGGCAGCAGUGGGGAAUAUUGCACAAUGGGGGAAACCCUGAUGCAGCGACGCCGCGUGAGUGAAGAAGGAAUUCGUGAUGUAAAGCUCUAUCAGCAGGGAAGAAAAUGACGGUACCUGAGUAAGAAGCCCCGGCUAACUACGUGCCAGCAGCCGCGGUGAUACGUAGGGGGCAAGCGUUAUCCGGAUUUACUGGGUGUAAAGGGAGCGUAGACGGCAGGGCCAGGCUGGAGUGAAAGGCGGGGGGCUCAACCCCCGGACUGCUCUGGAAACUGUACGGCUGGAGUGCAGGAGAGGUAAGUGGAAUUCCUAGUGUAGCGGUGAAAUGCGUAGAUAUUAGGAGGAACACCAGUGGCGAAGGCGGCUUACUGGACUGUAACUGACGUUGAGGCUCGAAAGCGUGGGGAGCAAACAGGAUUAGAUACCCUUGUAGUC
RNAcentral lists this ribosomal RNA (441 nucleotides) under uncultured bacterium. RNAcentral's name for it is "partial 16S ribosomal RNA". It matches the Rfam family "Bacterial small subunit ribosomal RNA", at positions 338 to 795 of the family's 1533-position model. The record is from RNAcentral.